Molecule: non-coding RNA, 73 nt
Organism: Stegodyphus mimosarum
Lineage: Eukaryota; Metazoa; Arthropoda; Arachnida; Araneae; Eresidae
Source: Rfam
GCCUUCGUAGUGUAGUAGUCAGCAAGCUCGACGCGUAACCCAGAGAUCCGUGGUUCGAUUCCCGGCAAAGGCG